UGCAAUUUGCGCCAUUGGUCAUCCCUUCGGAAGGUCUUUCCACAGGAAAAAUUUCAAAAAAAUCGCCGAACCCACCUAAGUACCACUUCUUGGUCAAGUUGACGUGGAAUGACCCUGAAACGAAAUUGAAUUUCGACAACGCAUUCGUCCGCCAUAUUGGUUCGAACUAAUUAUUGUGAUCACUGAUCAGGUGAUGAGUUUGAGUUUAAUUUUAUGAUUGUUGAAAAUAUUCCAGGUUCUUAGUGACUUAAAGUACAACCUUACAAACCCUGAAAACAUUCAAAAAUAUUACCCAAGUACCUAUAGAUAGAUCUGCAUAUAAUUGUUGAAGAAUUUCAAAAAUGAACAAAGAAGAUGAUAAAUCGUCAGAUAGAGCUAGCUCAAGCUCAUCAUUAUCCAAAGAUCUUAAUCAGCUUCGGCUUCAAAAGAAAGAAAAAAAGAAAUCCAGACUUGACGAACGUGAUUUGAAGAAUUACAAUAAAUAUCGAGGCUACGCUGAAAUGAUGGCGGCAAGGAAGAAAAUGGACGACAAUGACGACAUAAUUCUGUCAUUGCAAUUUCAGGAAAAAGAUAAUUCCAGAUUUAGCGAACGUGAAUUGAAGAAUUUACGUAAAUACCAAGGCUACGCUCAAAUGAUGGCGGCAAGAAAGAAAAUGAACGAAUACUGACGAAUGUAAAAUGGGUUUUCAUUAGUAGUAUGUAAAUUUAUUCUUUGCAAUUAUGAAUUAGUGUGGUCCCAUCCAAGUUACGAAGUUUUUAAAAAAUGUUAUCAUUAUAAGUGCAUUGUAUUUUUAAUGAGGUGGUCUCACUUUUAGAAUAUUUUCAAUUCUCAUCGCUGCGGAUUUUAUUCAUAUUAUGCUCAAGAAGCUGGUCUCAAUUUUCACAAUUUUUUCGUUUACCACCUUAUCAGAAAAUAAAAAAAGCUAAUUUUA
Planococcus citri (citrus mealybug) is the source of this 932-nucleotide long non-coding RNA. RefSeq lists it as uncharacterized. Lineage: Eukaryota; Metazoa; Arthropoda; Insecta; Hemiptera; Pseudococcidae. The record is from RefSeq and is a predicted model, not a curated record. The transcript is spliced from 3 exons.